GUCGAACGGUAGCACAGAGAGCUUGCUCUCGGGUGACGAGUGGCGGACGGGUGAGUAAUGUCUGGGAAACUGCCUGAUGGAGGGGGAUAACUACUGGAAACGGUAGCUAAUACCGCAUAACGUCGCAAGACCAAAGAGGGGGACCUUCGGGCCUCUUGCCAUCAGAUGUGCCCAGAUGGGAUUAGCUAGUAGGUGGGGUAACGGCUCACCUAGGCGACGAUCCCUAGCUGGUCUGAGAGGAUGACCAGCCACACUGGAACUGAGACACGGUCCAGACUCCUACGGGAGGCAGCAGUGGGGAAUAUUGCACAAUGGGCGCAAGCCUGAUGCAGCCAUGCCGCGUGUAUGAAGAAGGCCUUCGGGUUGUAAAGUACUUUCAGCGGGGAGGAAGGUGUUGCGGUUAAUAACCGCAGCAAUUGACGUUACCCGCAGAAGAAGCACCGGCUAACUCCGUGCCAGCAGCCGCGGUAAUACGGAGGGUGCAAGCGUUAAUCGGAAUUACUGGGCGUAAAGCGCACGCAGGCGGUCUGUCAAGUCGGAUGUGAAAUCCCCGGGCUCAACCUGGGAACUGCAUUCGAAACUGGCAGGCUAGAGUCUUGUAGAGGGGGGUAGGAUUCCAGGUGUAGCGGUGAAAUGCGUAGAGAUCUGGAGGAAUACCGGUGGCGAAGGCGGCCCCCUGGACAAAGACUGACGCUCAGGUGCGAAAGCGUGGGGAGCAAACAGG
This 724-nucleotide ribosomal RNA is filed under the name uncultured Enterobacterales bacterium. RNAcentral's name for it is "bacterial SSU rRNA". It matches the Rfam family "Bacterial small subunit ribosomal RNA", at positions 61 to 776 of the family's 1533-position model. The record is from RNAcentral. Lineage: Bacteria; Pseudomonadati; Pseudomonadota; Gammaproteobacteria; Enterobacterales.